CAGCAGCCGCGGUAAUACGGAGGGGGCUAGCGUUGUUCGGAAUUACUGGGCUUAAAGCGCACGUAGGCGGCUUGGUAAGUUAGAGGUGAAAGCCUGGAGCUCAACUCCAGAAUUGCCUUUAAGACUGCCGAGCUAGCAGGUGAGAGAGGUAAGUGGAAUUCCGAGUGUAGAGGUGAAAUUCGUAGAUAUUCGGAAGAACACCAGUGGCGAAGGCGGCUUACUGGCUCAUACUGGACGCUGAGGUGCGAAAGCGUGGGGAGCAAACAGGAUUAGAUACCCGCGUAGUCCCUGUCUCUUAUAC
Molecule: ribosomal RNA, 301 nt
Filed under: uncultured bacterium
Lineage: Bacteria
Description: partial 16S ribosomal RNA
Rfam family: Bacterial small subunit ribosomal RNA
Source: RNAcentral